Molecule: long non-coding RNA, 471 nt
Filed under: Equus caballus (horse)
Lineage: Eukaryota; Metazoa; Chordata; Mammalia; Perissodactyla; Equidae
Description: lncRNA (ENSECAG00000057472.1)
Source: RNAcentral
CAAGAGGAAGCCCUGGUAUAUCUCUUCUGGCUGGGUUCCGGAGUUACCAAUUAUUAUUUGGCUUAGCCUUUGUGCCCACUCUGCGCAUCAGAGCCCUGGAGAGGAGAAGAAGGGAGGAGCAUCCCACACCCCUAAACGUUUUCUCCACAGAAACAGCAAAGUGCAGACCAUGGAAGCUGGAGGGAACAGGAAACCAUCCAGCACAACCUCUCAUCCAACAUAGCUCCCCUCUUUCCAGCAUCUUCAGUGGCUGGUCAACUCACAUCCAUUCAGAUACCUCUAAGGAUGGUGAACUCAUUUCCUCCCUCUAGCUCACCCACCUCAUGGCGAGAAAUGCUUCCUUCUAAGAAAUCCAGACCUGACAGUAAGGUCCUAGCUCUGCCCUCUGGAUCCUACCCAACCUGUUUGCCAAGUCCACAGGACUGUCUUUCACAAGGAACAAGGCCUGUGCUCCUCUGGAGGCUUCAUUUA